Molecule: ribosomal RNA, 484 nt
Filed under: uncultured bacterium
Lineage: Bacteria
Description: partial 16S ribosomal RNA
Rfam family: Bacterial small subunit ribosomal RNA
Source: RNAcentral
AUUGAACGCUGGCGGAAUGCUUUACACAUGCAAGUCGAGCGGCAGCGCGGCCUUCGGGCUGGCGGCGAGCGGCGAACGGGUGAGUAAUGCAUCGGGACAUGCCCAGUCGUGGGGGAUAACACUUCGAAAGAAGUGCUAAUACCGCAUACGUCCUGAGGGGGAAAGCGGGGGAUCGCAAGACCUCGCGCGAUUGGAGUGGCCGAUGUCAGAUUAGCUAGUUGGUGGGGUAAAGGCCUACCAAGGCGACGAUCUGUAGCUGGUCUGAGAGGAUGAUCAGCCACACUGGGACUGAGACACGGCCCAGACUCCUACGGGAGGCAGCAGUGGGGAAUUUUGGACAAUGGGGGCAACCCUGAUCCAGCCAUUCCGCGUGAGUGAAGAAGGCCUUCGGGUUGUAAAGCUCUUUCGGCAGGAACGAAACGGUGGGCUCUAACAUAGUCCGCUAAUGACGGUACCUGAAGAAGAAGCACCGGCUAACUACGUG